Molecule: RNA transcript, 2956 nt
Organism: Gadus morhua (Atlantic cod)
Lineage: Eukaryota; Metazoa; Chordata; Actinopteri; Gadiformes; Gadidae
Gene name: molybdenum cofactor sulfurase-like
Exons: 4
Source: RefSeq, a predicted model, not a curated record
GAGGAAUGUAAAGCUUCACGAUAUUAUUGCAGAUGUGGAUUUGCUCAUCGGCACUGAUGCAGCAAAAGUGAUGGAACCCAGGGAGCUGAUCAACAGCCAAGGCGAAGGACCAUACGCAGUCCGAACAAGAGUCAGCCGGGUCAUUAAUGGACCAGUUCGUGGUGGAGAUAUCAACCAAGGGAAGACUGGCUGCUCUGUUGUUACAACAAAGAAACGUGUCUCUGAGGCACGCCUCGAAAAAAUGCUCAUUAAACAAUACAACCAAGACUUUAAUGAGAACGUAUCAGAGGAGCAGUUGGAGUUGUCAAGAGGAGACAUUACAUUUAUGGGGAUUAUAAAAAGUUCAACAGAAAUGAAAAAUGGUCAUUACUGCAUAGACUUACCCUUCAGAGAAGAAGACCCUGUGCUACCAAAUAAUCGCUCUGUGGCGGAACUGCGGCUACAGGGUUUGAAGAGGAAUUUUGAAAAAAAUCAACAGUUUAAGCAGGAGUACACCGCAUUUCUGAAUGAUAUGUUGGACCAAGGCUAUGCAGAAGUAGUAUCCACGGAUCAUUUGGAAGAGGAUGAUGGAAAAGUGUGGUUCAUCCCUCAUCACGGAGUACAUCACCCCACCAAAGGAAAGAUAAGGAUCAUGUUUGACUGUGGAGCCACAUAGAAAGGAACAUCCCUGAAUUGCUAGCUUCUGCAGGGUCCGGAUCUCCCCAACUCUCUUGUAGGGGUCCUCAUUUGUUUCAGGAAAGAACUUGUGGCAGUCAUGGCUGAUAUCCGUGCAAUGUUUUAUCAGGUACAGGGGCCUGAUAAACAUGUGAACUUCCUCUGCUUCCUUUGGUGGCAUCACUGAUCUAGAGCCAGUGGAACAUCGGAUGAGAGUACACCUGUUUAGAGCAGUAUCGCCCCAAGUUGUGCCAACUAUGCCUUGAGGAGAGCUGCUGAGGACAAUGCAUCUGAUUUUCCUCCUGAAGUGAUAAGCACAGUCAACUACAGCUUCUACGUAGAUGACUGCCUGAAGUCCACAGCCACGGAGAAAGAUGCAAUACAUAUUGUGAAAGACUUGACAGCACUCUGUAACAAAGGUGGAUUCAGCCUCCAAAAAUGGGAGACAAAGAGCCGUUCUGUGUUGACGUCAAUCCCAGGUGACAUCAGAUCAACAGAUGUAAGAGCACUGGGAUUGCAAUGGUGUGUGGAAUCUAACCAGUUCAGCUUCAGGACUGCAUUACGGGAACGUCCACAGACCAGGAGAGGCAUUUUGUCUGUGGUCAGCUCCCUAUAUGAUCCAUUAGGAUUCUUACAACUGUUCUGAAGUACAUCUGUAAUGAAACUAGGCGCUUUCAUACCUUUGUUAUCAGAGAAGCCACCAACGGGGACCAGUGGAAGUAUGUAAACACCAAGGUCAACCCUGCAGAUAAAGCAUCUCGUUGAAUGAGAGCUGAGGAAUUCCUUACAAGAUCACGAUGGAUUAAAGGCCCAGAGUUCCUCUACUUGCCAGAAAUGGAGUGGCCUGUAGCGGACAUGGAUCCAGCUGUGAUUCCUGCUGAUGACCCCAAGGUCAAAAGAGAAAAAAAAGUGAAUACCAUUGUCAAAUAUGCCGAUAAUGCCACACACCACUUCAUCAACUACUUCUCAUCAUGGAGGAAGCUUAAAGUGGCUGUUGCCUGGUUCCUUCAGCUUAAAAGAGUUCUAUCGCUUCUGAGCCAAAAGAGGAAAGAACUCAAAGCCGCUGAGAGCGAUGAGGACGCCAGAGUUAAAUGUUCUGUGGAACAGAAACUUCAGAGUUCUAAAGCCACUCUUGUAGGAAAAAACUUGACUCCACAAGAUUAUGAUGAAGCAGAAAAGGCAAUCAUUUGUUUUGUUCAGAAACAAAGGUUUGCAAGUGAAAUCGCCUCAUUGAAAGGCGACUCAAACGUAUUGUGUGUAGACGCCACAGAGGAAAACUUGGCAGACUUACCUGAAGAGAGGGUUAUGCCAGACAAGACCGCUUUCACAAACGUGGGAGUUGAUUUUUUGGCCCAAUCGCAGUCAAAAGAGGAAGAAGCCUUUUAAAAAGUUAUUGAGUGCUCUUCACCUGCUUGACCAGUCAUCCGGUGCACCUUGAAGUGGCAGACUCCAUUGACACACACUCUUGCAUUAAUAACAUACAGUGAUUAAUUUGCAGAAGAGGCCCUGUGUCGAGUUUGAGAUCCGACAACGGCACAAAUUUCGUGGGUGCGAACAAAAUAUUAAAACAAAGCCUUGUAGAGCUGAACAAUGUGAAAAUCCAAGAUGGAAUUAAGUGGAGCUUUAACACACCAGCUGCUUCACAUCAAGGUGGUGUUUGGGAACAUCUGAUUCGCUCAGUACGAAGCAUGCUCACCUCAGUUCUUGGACAGCAGGUAUUGAACGAUGGGGGCCUGCAGAUGCUGUUUUGUGAGGUAGAGGCAAUACUAAAUGACAGACCCAUCGCAAAGGUUUCGGAUGACCCCAAUGACCUUGAAGCCUUAACAUCAAACCAUAUUCUUCUGCCGAUCUUUCCACCAGGACUCUUUAAGCAGAGUGACCGCUACAUCCGAAGAUGUCGACUUUGUCUGAUACGACAAAGUCCCGAUUCUAUCCGAGGAGGGCAGAAAAGAUUGAACACAGCCUCCACUGCUGUGCUUUCCCUUGUGAAUGAAGCUCAAUAUCUCCUGAUCAACCAGGCCAGCGUGGACCUCAUCCAGGAACAGAUUCGAAGCAGACAGGAAUCCUCGGAAGACGGCCAGCCUCUCGAGAGACAGGAUCUCAUCAGCCGCUUUCGAGCCAAUUUGGUUGCCGCUGGAGUGGAGCCAUUCGAAGAGGGUUCUUGGUCACAGCUGAUCAUCGGAAACGCUCAAUUUCUUGUUGGAGGUCGAUGUGGAAGGUGCCAGAUGAUCUGCGUGGAUCAGGACACUGGGGCUAAGAGCAAGGCUCCUCUUCUGGCUCUCUCAGCCUGCCGCUCGGGGAA